Molecule: non-coding RNA, 2659 nt
Organism: Theobroma cacao (cacao)
Lineage: Eukaryota; Viridiplantae; Streptophyta; Magnoliopsida; Malvales; Malvaceae
Source: RefSeq, a predicted model, not a curated record
UUUACCAUCAUCUUCUUGUUAUUGUGAUGGGAUGAUCAGACAUGUCUGCAGUGGAGAAGUUUGAAAAGGAGAACAAAGAAAACCAUGAAUGGAGUUCAAAUUCAACUUCCCUGUGGUUCUAGUUUCAGAAAACUAGUAACUGUAAAUUCAUUCAGCCGCAGCCAAUGAAGCCUACUGAGACACCAUUCACGCAUCUAAGGUAUCCACACCCUAUAUGUAAACUAUGAACAAUAUUGUAUACCAUCUGAGAAAUGUAUAUUUACUAUAUUUCAGAAACAUUCAGCAAUCCAAGAUGUUAUGGUCUAAUCUGAGGCUGAAGAGAACAGAUUUUCAAAGGUUACAUGGGAGGAGAGCUCAACAAUUUUAGGGUAGCAGAAGGUACUGAGGUGCUGACUAGCACUAAGCAAUUGAUCAUCAACAUGGUGAAAUGCGGACAAACAGCACUUUUGCCCAUCCUUGCUCCAACAAUGUCAUGAAUAGGUCCAAGGAGUUCCCAUUAGCAACGAGCACCCAUAGAUGAAAGCUCCAAACUCCUGAGUGUAAUAUAUAUAUCCCUUCCAAAUUGUACCUCUCUGGAAUUGAACUUGGCAGAACAUAAGACACAACCAUUACUAGAAAUCUCUACACAGAUUUUAUCCACUACAUACAUGUGUAUAAUUGUAUGUCUGUCAAUGACUGAAACAUAAUUUAAAAACAUUUUGUAGUUGUUACUUUUAAAACAGGCUCUAGAUCCAGGAAAAAGAUAUCCUAUUUAGAUAGAAACAUGAAAACCUGUCUUGGUAUUAUCCCACUUAUAUUCAUGUUAAUGUUAGACGGUAACUAGAGGUUGUUUAACUUGCUGAAGCAGGAAGACUGCUCAAGUUUCAACUCACCAUUCGAGCAGAAGGACAACCAAUUUGGUUUAAUUAAGGGCAGAAUUUGGGACAGAAAGAAAGUUCCAUGUAUAAAUUGCACUAAAAUUAUAAGGCUAAUAAUUCCUUCUGGCAAGGUUUCAACUUUCAGAAUUGGCAGCUUUAUUGAACUACCAAUUUAUCCAAUGACAAGUCAAAAGUUGCCACUUCACACCUUCUGCACUGUGACAAGAACUCAGAAUUCAUAUAAUCUAAUCAAAUCUAUAACAAAUUUCAUAGUUGGAAUUACCACAGUUCUAUUGUUAAAUACAAGAACCAAAUAGAAGAAGAAAAAGAAAUCUUCCUUGACAAUCAAUAGGAUAGAUUGCUAACAAAACACCAUCAAUGGCUUUCAAACAAGUAAAAAAUGUAUGAGAAACAAAUUCCCCAAUCCUUCCAGAAGCACCAUAUUUAGCACCUAAAGUUCAUAAUAUUGCUACAAAUGCCUCCACUUUUUUUUUUUUUUUGGAAAAAUAGAAGGAUUUCAUUAAUCAACAAGGAACAAAAAAUUCCUUGAAAGAAAACAGGAACCAAUGUACAGGAGGAUAUAAAAGAUGAAAAAGUGUCCACAAACAGAACACCAGGAACAAAACCAAAAACCCAAGAGCAGCAAAACAAGCGAAAACCAUUGGGGCCAAAAGCAGCAAGAAGAACAGAAGCAUCAACAGAUGCAAGAGACAAACAGCAGCAAGAAGGCCAAACAAACAGAAACAGCAACAAGAGAGAAGCCAGACAGUGAACAUCAACAGAAACAGCAGGAAAAGAUUCGAGCGAAGAAGAGGAAUCUCGAACAUCCAUCCACACAAAGACAGCAGCAACACAACAGAAAACAAAGCAACCAAGGAACAACACAGCAAGAAGAGAGCAAACAGAAUCAGAGGCAGCAGGCAGCAGUCAUUGGAAUAGUUUUUACUUUUCACACAUACUAGAUAAAGUUCAUCAUUCCUACACCAUCAAUCAGACAUUGAGCCUGCUGCUGCUCAAAAGCACAACCAUACAUAAUAUCGUUGUUUUAUGGAUGUCUUACAGAUAUGCAACACAAUGUAUUGACUAUUGAACAAAGUUUUUUUUUUAAUAAUUAAAAGAGGAUGAAGAAAAAGAAGCUUUCUUUAAGAACCGUCAAAAGGGCCAAAGUUUGCAUUAUUAGUCUUCCACGAAGAAAGUAGCUUUUCCAAACACAAAAUACAGAUAUGAAAAAAGAACAAAGUAAUCUGUUUAGAUGCAUUGGUCACAACCAACACAAAAACUUAACUGAAAAAUGAAAAUCAAUUGACUAUAUUCCAGCUAUAUACAAAUUUACUUUGAUAGAUUGAACUCCAACAAUGACAUAAUUUCAUCCAGAAUUCAUGAAUUCUAACUUCAAAAUUGGAUUUUUUGAACAUAAAAAUCCCUGUUUUAAAAAUUUUUCUACUAAAAGUAUUGACAUUUCAUUCUACAAAACACAAAAUCAGGCAACUAAAACGACAAUCUAACACAUUUGCCUAUUAAAAAACAUUAGAAACUCUCACCAAAAAUGAAUGAACCUAAAUCUUUCUCCUAAGACGUUUCCUCAGCUUCUUGUAUUUGUGCUUCUUCAUCUUCCUCUUCCUCUUUUUCUUCACACUAUCAACCAAACGAAAGUUCAUCUUCUGACUCAUAUGAGAUAGACCCAGAUGAUGAAAUGGGGUUUAAAGACAACCCAAAUGAAAAAACCUGGAUAAAAAAUGGAAGCUUUACAAUUGGUCAAGUUCUCUGCUUUGAGUGAACCCUAAAAGUUUUGAGAAAGCUGG